CCUACGGGCGGCAGCAGUGGGGAAUAUUGGACAAUGGGCGAAAGCCUGAUCCAGCCAUGCCGCGUGUGUGAAGAAGGCCUUCGGGUUGUAAAGCACUUUCAGUGGGGAAGAAAGCCUUGGGGCUAAUACCCUCGAGGAAGGACAUCACCCACAGAAGAAGCACCGGCUAACUCCGUGCCAGCAGCCGCGGUAAUACGGAGGGUGCGAGCGUUAAUCGGAAUUACUGGGCGUAAAGCGCGCGUAGGCGGUCUGAUAAGCCGGUUGUGAAAGCCCCGGGCUCAACCUGGGAACGGCAUCCGGAACUGUCAGACUAGAGUGCAGGAGAGGAAGGUAGAAUUCCCGGUGUAGCGGUGAAAUGCGUAGAGAUCGGGAGGAAUACCAGUGGCGAAGGCGGCCUUCUGGACUGACACUGACGCUGAGGUGCGAAAGCGUGGGUAGCAAACAGGAUUAGAUACCCCAGUAGUC
RNAcentral lists this ribosomal RNA (465 nucleotides) under Vreelandella stevensii. RNAcentral describes it as "partial 16S ribosomal RNA". It matches the Rfam family "Bacterial small subunit ribosomal RNA", at positions 338 to 795 of the family's 1533-position model. The record is from RNAcentral. Lineage: Bacteria; Pseudomonadati; Pseudomonadota; Gammaproteobacteria; Oceanospirillales; Halomonadaceae.